This 492-nucleotide ribosomal RNA is filed under the name uncultured bacterium. RNAcentral describes it as "partial 16S ribosomal RNA". It matches the Rfam family "Bacterial small subunit ribosomal RNA", at positions 29 to 507 of the family's 1533-position model. The record is from RNAcentral.
AGUGAACGCUGGCGGCAGGCCUAACACAUGCAAGUCGAACGGCAGCACAGUAAGAGCUUGCUCUUACGGGUGGCGAGUGGCGGACGGGGGAGGAAUACAUCGGAAUCUACUUUUUCGUGGGUGAUAACGUAGGGAAACUUACGCUAAUACCGCAUACGACCUACGGGUGAAAGCAGGGGAUCUUCUGACCUUGCGCUAUUGAAUGAGCCGAUGUCGGAUUAGCUAGUUGGCGGGGUAGAGGCACACCAAGGCGACGAUACGUAUAUGGUCUGAGAGGAUGAUUAGCCAGCCUGGCAGUGAGACACGGUCCAGACUCCUACGGGAGGCAGCAGUGGGGAAUACUGGACAAUGGGGGAAAGGCUGAUACAGCAAUACCGCGUGGGUGAAGAAGGACUUCGGGUGGUAAAGCCAUUUUGUUGGGAAAGAAAAGAAGCACGUUAAUCCGCCGCUGUUAUGACGGUACCCAAAGAAUAAGCACCGGCUAACUUCGUG